CCUACGGGGGGCAGCAGUGGGGAAUAUUGGACAAUGGGCGAAAGCCUGAUCCAGCCAUGCCGCGUGUGUGAAGAAGGCCUUCGGGUUGUAAAGCACUUUCAGUGGGGAAGAAAGCCUUGGGGCUAAUACCCUCGAGGAAGGACAUCACCCACAGAAGAAGCACCGGCUAACUCCGUGCCAGCAGCCGCGGUAAUACGGAGGGUGCGAGCGUUAAUCGGAAUUACUGGGCGUAAAGCGCGCGUAGGCGGUCUGAUAAGCCGGUUGUGAAAGCCCCGGGCUCAACCUGGGAACGGCAUCCGGAACUGUCAGGCUAGAGUGCAGGAGAGGAAGGUAGAAUUCCCGGUGUAGCGGUGAAAUGCGUAGAGAUCGGGAGGAAUACCAGUUGCGAAGGCGGCCUUCUGGACUGACACUGACGCUGAGGUGCGAAAGCGUGGGUAGCAAACAGGAUUAGAUACCCUAGUAGUC
This 465-nucleotide ribosomal RNA is filed under the name Vreelandella stevensii. RNAcentral describes it as "partial 16S ribosomal RNA". It matches the Rfam family "Bacterial small subunit ribosomal RNA", at positions 338 to 795 of the family's 1533-position model. Lineage: Bacteria; Pseudomonadati; Pseudomonadota; Gammaproteobacteria; Oceanospirillales; Halomonadaceae. The record is from RNAcentral.